CGGUACCUUGCUCAGGGGUACCUCAGGGUAGCCGUUCAGUGGAGUCGAACCCCCGACCUUCCGAUCAUGGGGCAGACACUCUACCUACUGAGCUAUCCCUGCCCCUGGUGUUACAGUGUGAGUCUGCAGGCUGGUAUCCAGAGCCUGAGCUGCUGUGGUUGGACGGUGAGGGAAAGCUCCUCUCUGCUGGACCUACAGAGACCCUCAGAGGUCCUGAUGACCUCUAUACUGUCAGCAGCAGAGUGACUGUGGAGAAGAGACACAGCAACAACAUCACCUGCAGAGUCCAACAGAGGAACACCAACCAGAGCAGAGAGACGCACAAACAUGUUCCAGUCCCGUCCUGGUAUUUGAAAUUGGUCUUGGUUCCGGGCUUACUCGCUGUGUUGGUGUCUGUUCUGUUGACCAUUCACAGAUGGCGACUGAGGAUUCCUGAACAUGCUGAAAAAGAGGCGAUGAUCAAGAAUCCAGAUGUGUAAUUACCACAAGGAACAGCUUUGAUAGAAAACCACACAACUCCAAAGGGGCAAGAACUUCAGAUCAUGUAAGAUCAGGAAGUGGAGCUUCUGACAUGUCUGGAGGAAGCAGGAGAGCAGCUGAAGAACGUACACAUUUUAAUGACAGGAAGACAAGCUUUGAGAAAGAGCUUAUGUGAAUACAGUGACUGUUAUUGUCAAUAUUCCUGAGCAAAUCACCUGUGCUUAAACAGUCUUCAGCGUGGCUUUAGUCUCUCAGUCUGGACCUGGAGUCUGGAUUUCUAAAUGGCGAUAACUGAAACGAGCCCUCAGUUCAUCUGUACAAAUUGGUUGUUACAUUUCUUACUGUGUUAGAGGACCUCCAUCAUCUGUAGUGUUGUCCAUGACUGUUUCACAACCUUAAAUGUACCAAUGAUGAAAAAGGCUCUUUGACCUCCAGGGAGUACCUAUGAAAGAAAUCUUUACCCAUCCUAAACUGCAUAAAUUGUAGUUGUGAAUGUUCACUAUUGUACAUGGGAAAGUUUCACAUAACGAGGUCAUGUAAUCUCUGUGAACCGAAAGCUUCAUCCUGCUCUAGACACUCACUUUUAUUCCGUUAUAGAGAGUGGAUAUCCUCAAUAUUUCCAUGCAGUUCUGACCGUGAGCACAAAAGAUCCCCUCACCACUCAAAUCUUAAGUUUAUGAGGGAAACCGAUCAGACAAAAGUUGGGUUAUAGGGAGAGGAGCUAAGAAAAGUCAGACAAACUGAAGUGUCAAACUCAGGAUUAAAAAGAUUUAUUUUGAACUGUGAACCAUGCAGAGCUGCUUAGGAGUCCAAGAAUAAAAAAUAUUGUAUUGGAAAUGAGCAGAAUAUGAUUCAUUUCAGUGCAAUAUUGUAACUGUGAAAACAAAGGAGUAGUACUUCUCUGGUUGUAGAUGCACCAUUUCAGGAAGACGCUACUUUGGGUCUUAUCUGAAGUCAGAGACUGACAAUCCUAGACUAGUCUAUUUUCGUUUAUAAUGGUUUAUUGUGAGCAGUGAGUCUCAGGAUUGGACUGUUUCCUCAACCAUAAUACAGAAAGUAAACAAAAUCCCUGUAGAAACCUCAAAAGACCCAAACUGUUUUAACUUCCUCUAGGCAACCAAAGAAUGGCUUCUUAUUUCUAACCUAGAGUUGAUGACUGUCACAUUCAUCAGCUGUUAAAUUUGCACUGAAUCUAAUAAUCUGUGAUAGCUACAAUGCUAAAUUUCUGUGAGGCACAAUUCAUAAAGGAGGUCUUUUAUUGGAAAGAGUUUUUGUAAUGACUUUAAAUGCUAGAAAUGGUCAAGCAUGGCAGUAUAUAAUCUGUAGUUUAAUAAUAAGUUAACAUUUUUAUUUAUUAAGGUUCUUUUUGCACUGCCCUAUGGUGACCUAUGCACAUUGUAACAGUGUCAUUUAUAUGUAUAAAGACUGUGAUCAUCAUUUCCUCUUGGUAUGUCAUAGCUAUAAGUACUCGUUAUGUUAAAGACACACAUCAAUUUUAAUUGUUGUGAUAGUCUUCCUUGUUUAACUGUAUGUACCUCUGUCUCUCUCCUUUAAUAUAAAAUUAAUGUAUUUCUACUGAAAAAGAAU
Long non-coding RNA from Oreochromis aureus, 2067 nucleotides. RefSeq lists it as uncharacterized. NCBI's taxonomy places the organism in Eukaryota, Metazoa, Chordata, Actinopteri, Cichliformes, Cichlidae. The record is from RefSeq and is a predicted model, not a curated record. The transcript is spliced from 3 exons.